This 460-nucleotide ribosomal RNA is filed under the name uncultured bacterium. Its description in RNAcentral is "partial 16S ribosomal RNA". It matches the Rfam family "Bacterial small subunit ribosomal RNA", at positions 338 to 795 of the family's 1533-position model. The record is from RNAcentral.
CCUACGGGCGGCAGCAGUGAGGAAUAUUGGUCAAUGGACGAGAGUCUGAACCAGCCAAGUAGCGUGAAGGAUGACUGCCCUAUGGGUUGUAAACUUCUUUUAUAUGGGAAUAAAACGUUCCACGUGUGGGAUUUUGUAUGUACCAUAUGAAUAAGGAUCGGCUAACUCCGUGCCAGCAGCCGCGGUAAUACGGAGGAUCCGAGCGUUUUCCGGAUUUAUUGGGUUUAAAGGGAGCGUAGGUGGAUUGUUAAGUCAGUUGUGAAAGUUUGCGGCUCAACCGUAAAAUUGCAGUUGAAAAUGGCAGUCUUGAGUACAGUAGAGGUGGGCGGAAUGCGUGGUGUAGCGGUGAAAUGCUUAGAUAUCACGAAGAACUCCGAUUGCGAAGGCAGUUCACUGGACUGCAACUGACACUGAGGCUCGAAAGUGUGGGUAUCAAACAGGAUUAGAUACCCUAGUAGUC